Molecule: transfer RNA, 88 nt
Filed under: Alphaproteobacteria bacterium
Lineage: Bacteria; Pseudomonadati; Pseudomonadota; Alphaproteobacteria
Also listed under: 2 other names
Description: tRNA-Leu
Rfam family: tRNA
About the family: Transfer RNA (tRNA) molecules are approximately 80 nucleotides in length. Their secondary structure includes four short double-helical elements and three loops (D, anti-codon, and T loops).
Source: RNAcentral
GCGGCCGUGGCGGAAUUGGUAGACGCGUCAGACUAAGGAUCUGGUGGGAGGUAAUCCCGUGGAAGUUCGAGUCUUCUCGGCCGCACCA